Molecule: non-coding RNA, 1959 nt
Organism: Oryctolagus cuniculus (rabbit)
Lineage: Eukaryota; Metazoa; Chordata; Mammalia; Lagomorpha; Leporidae
Source: RefSeq, a predicted model, not a curated record
AUUGUCAGCUUAACCUAGUCUAGUUUGAAAAAAGUAUUGCAUUGUAAAAUGCUCUUUCCACUGUCCUGUUCAGGAAAAAUGACUUGGGCUAAACCAAAUAUUGAGUUACCAACUAUUUCAAUUGCCAUAUUCAUUAUCUCCUAUGAAGUAUAAGCAUUCUUCUUGUGUUUGUAGGACCUUGGAAUUACAUUCUAAAUGACUACCAUGGAAACAUGUAGAACAUCAUGUCCUGUUUUUGUCUUUGUGGGUCAUUUUCAUCAAAUGUUUAGUAAUUUCAUUGCCCUUGCAUAAUUAGGUGAAGAAGCUCCACCCGAGCGUCCAUGGGUCAGCUAUGUGGACUCUAGCUGCCAAAGGCGCUUCUCCUUCUGAACAGAGCGCUUUGCUCAGCCAGUGUAGACAUGGCCUGAUAAACAAUGGAACUUCUCCCUUGAGAACUGGAGUUUGGAUUGAUCUAAUUCUUUAACUCAGAAGUGUGCACAGGUUUGAUAAGUGGUUAAAAUGUGUGUAUUUUAGUGAAAUGGGAGCUUAAAUUAACAGUCGUGUGAAGAAUAACAAUGUAUAGCAAACGUAAAAGACAGUAGUACUCACUGUUGCAAAAACUAAUCAAGGGACUAUCAAAUCAAAUUUUAAUGUGCAUUUAAAUAUCUGUGCCAGGGAGGUUGUUCUUGCAGGUUUCUAUCUGUCAAGCCUUAACACUAAACCUGUCAGAGUGCAACAUGGGAGUGUCACUUUUAACCAGGAUGUCACAUACACUGUGAGAAACAACCUGCUUUGUGUUUUCUUUCUUACCAGGAAAAGCAAAUGUAAAAAGGAUUUUUCUUUUAACACUGCAUUUUUCUUUUGCAGAUUCUCGGGCUGAUGCUGUUAAGUGAUGGAGUGGGUUGCCAACUGUAGUUGCUGCACUCAGCGCCUAAUGGCUCUGGGGAACAUACUCAGACAUGCCCAGAGAAGUCUGCCUGGGGUGAAACAAGUACCCUUGAGGUUUAUAUCAGGAUGAAGUUGGGCUUAAUAGCCUAGGCUUACUUCACUAAGAAACUACACAAUUUCUGUUGCUAUGUUUUGUUAGAAAGGAAGGAGAGGCUGUUUCUACAGGUGUCAUAGAAAAAUCAAUACCAAGCUACGGAUUAUUGGAUCCCAUAGAACCAUGGAGACUUGGCAGUGAAAUUCUUCCAAAGAUUUCUCAGAGUUGAAAAACCAUAUAUAACACAUUGGUUGUUUUACUGCGUCGGUUAGCAUUCCAUCCGUGCAGGCAAAUGGUGUUCCCAGGCUGGAAGUAUCAAUCCCAGGGGAAGUCAACUGAAGAACAUUUUAUGCAUCACUCAUCCUAUUAUGAGCCUUGUGCUACUCUCUCUCUACAAGACUGGCUGGAAGAACAACCGAAGUUUCUUUUAUAAUUUGUACUCCAAUACUGAAUCACCCUAGUUAAUACUCUAACUGUGGUAAUACCCAAAUGAGAGUGAUCUAUCAAAAAGAUCAUCUUUUAGAAGGAUGCUACUGCAUUAUUAAUAAACUAACAGAAGAUGCAUCACUUUCGAUAUCCCAUCUGAUGAGUGGUGACUGAUCAUACCCGCCAGCUGGCUAAUAUCAUAAUUAACGAAGUUGGUGCGACGUCUGCAAAGUUUAAUCGGAACAUUUACCAGCGAUGUGAUGGCAUCGUUACGAAGAUCACAAGGGACCUGGCCGUGACUUUUGCCCAAGGAGGAAUGGCAAAGCUGUGCAGGCGAAAUGAGAAAUUGCAAACUUGUUCAGCCAAAGAAAUGCAACUACAUAGUUUUUGAUGCUGAUAAGGGACUACGAAGCGGUAUUUUGCUGUUAUAUCUAGCAAUCUCUAUCAGCUUUGUGAAUAACUGGCCGGUAACAACUGUUAGUUGAACAUUUACAUUGGGUGGCUUUUGGUCAACAAUGUAGAAACCAUUGCUCGGCUUUAUUCUUGCACCAACCUAGUUACAGAAGAAGAAA